This 274-nucleotide ribosomal RNA is filed under the name uncultured bacterium. RNAcentral describes it as "partial 16S ribosomal RNA". It matches the Rfam family "Bacterial small subunit ribosomal RNA", at positions 523 to 796 of the family's 1533-position model. The record is from RNAcentral.
AUACGAAAGGUGCAAGCGUUGUUCGGAUUUACUGGGCGUAAAGAGAGUGUAGGUGGUUUAUUAAGUCGGAUGUGAAAUCCCGGGGCUCAACCUCGGAACUGCAUUCGAUACUGAUAGGCUAGAGUUUGGGAGGGGUAAGCGGAAUUCCGUGUGUAGCAGUGAAAGGCGUAGAUAUACGGAGGAACACCGGAGGCGAAGGCGGCUUACUGGACCAAUACUGACACUGAGACUCGAAAGCGUGGGUAGCAAACAGGAUUAGAUACCCCAGUAGUCC